AGCAGCCGCGGUAAUUCCAGCUCCAAUAGCGUAUAUUAAAGUUGUUGCAGUUAAAAAGCUCGUAGUUGAAUUUCGGGGUUAGUAGGUUGGUCAUGCCUCUGGUAUGUACUGGUCUCACUGAUUCCUCCUUCCUGAUGAGCCGUAAUGCCAUUAAUUUGGUGUUGCGGGGAAUUUGGACUGUUACUUUGAAAAAAUUUAGAGUGUUUAAAGCAGGCAUUAGCUUGAAUACAUUAGCAUGGAAUAAUGAAAUAGGACGUUUGAUCCUAUUUUGUUGGUUUCUAGGAUCGACGUAAUGAUUAAUAGGGAUAGUUGGGGGCAUUAGUAUUCAAUUGUCAGAGGUGAAAUUCUUGGAUUUAUUGAAGACUAACUACUGCGAAAGCAUUUGCCAAGGAUGUUUUCAUUAAUCAAGAACGAAAGUUAGGGGAUCGAAGACGAUCAGAUACCGUCGUAGUCUUAACCAUAAACUAUGCCGACUAGGGAUCGGAUGAUGUUAAUUUUUUUAAUGACUCAUUCGGCGCCU
This 520-nucleotide ribosomal RNA is filed under the name uncultured Glomus. RNAcentral describes it as "SSU rRNA". It matches the Rfam family "Eukaryotic small subunit ribosomal RNA", at positions 569 to 1088 of the family's 1831-position model. Lineage: Eukaryota; Fungi; Glomeromycota; Glomeromycetes; Glomerales; Glomeraceae. The record is from RNAcentral.